Molecule: long non-coding RNA, 1145 nt
Filed under: Dasypus novemcinctus (nine-banded armadillo)
Lineage: Eukaryota; Metazoa; Chordata; Mammalia; Cingulata; Dasypodidae
Description: lncRNA (ENSDNOG00000051604.1)
Source: RNAcentral
CCUGCCUUUCUGGGAACUAUUUUCUCCUCUGUUGGGGGCCGGGAAGAGUGACAGAAAUGCAUCUAGGUCCCUGAUGUAGGCAAGAUACAUUCAAAUACCACACUUAAGCCUCCUACGGCUGACAAGAGCCCUGAGUCCCCAGCUAUGGGACAGUCAGCCACUGCCCAGUCUGACAGUGUUUGUGGACUGGCUGCAGGACAUGGGAUGGGCAGGGCCAUAGACAGCAACUCUCCUGAAACACACACACGGUUCCAUUCAGAGGCAGUGUGGCUGGCAAGGGAAGGCCUCUCUGAUCUGCGGUCUACUCUCCUCUCACAGUGCCUUCGACCAUCCGUGCCAGAACUUCGGGGGCCAUCCUCGUGGGAACUUUCUCCAUCUCCAGGAUGCACUGAUGCUCCAGGGACCCAUGUCGUACGUGCAUGUGCAGAUGACUUCUGUGACACUGAAAUGGCAGUCAUGUCCUGCCCAUGCCCCACUUGGGGGCCAUGAAUGCAGCGAGCCCGAGCCUGAGCCCGGAGUGCCUUCGACCAUCCGUGCCAGAACUUCGGGGGCCAUCCUCGUGGGAACUUUCCCCAUCUCCAGGAUGCACUGAUGCUCCAGGGCCUGAACAGUUUCAUGGGUAUGAAAUGAUUUCCUUGAAUUUCAGAGCUGCUACCACCCUGCCCCUCCCCAGCUUGAGUUUAAGGAAUCCAUGGAGUACUAUCCAGAGGUCCAGAUUUAUGUGUGUCAGUUCCUGUGAGCCUGAGCUGAUGCCAUUAGUGUUUAAUGUAUGCACGAUUUCCUCAUCUGGGGCUGUCCAAGAGCAAAAGCACCUCAAGAGUGGCCAUCAGUUCUCUCAUUACAUAGAAGUGUUCCCUUGGUUGGGUGUGGUGGGUUUCUGUUUUUUACAUCUGUAUAGCUUGCGGUUAUUGUCUGCUCCUACAUGACACCAAAAUCCUGUCAUGCUGGAGAGCCCUUCUCCUCUUCAAACCUCACUGCCAUCUCCAUUGUCUGUGUCUAUCCUAGCUCCAGCUCCUGCUACAGCACCUGCACAGGAUGGUCUGGAGCUGCUUCCAUUUUCAGAUAUUAGACUAGGUUUGGAGUUUGAAGAAGCAUCAUGGUGCAUUUGUGGAACUCCAACCCUGAGUUUUCACUUCGUGUCUGUA